UCGGGAAUUUUGGGCAAUGGGGGAAACCCUGACCCAGCAACGCCGCGUGAAGGAUGAAGUAUUUCGGUAUGUAAACUUCGAAAGAAUAGGAAGAAUAAAUGACGGUACUAUUUAUAAGGUCCGGCUAACUACGUGCCAGCAGCCGCGGUAAUACGUAGGGACCAAGCGUUGUUCGGAUUUACUGGGCGUAAAGGGCGCGUAGGCGGCAUGACAAGUCACUUGUGAAAUCUCUGGGCUUAACCCAGAACGGCCAAGUGAUACUGUCGCGCUAGAGUGCAGAAGGGGCAAUCGGAAUUCUUGGUGUAGCGGUGAAAUGCGUAGAUAUCAAGAGGAACACCUGAGGUGAAGACGGGUUGCUGGGCUGACACUGACGCUGAGGCGCGAAAGCCAGGGGAGCAACGGGAUUAGAUACCCGUGUAGUCCCUGAGCGGGCUGGCAAGGCGCAU
This 446-nucleotide ribosomal RNA is filed under the name uncultured bacterium. Its description in RNAcentral is "bacterial SSU rRNA". It matches the Rfam family "Bacterial small subunit ribosomal RNA", at positions 355 to 825 of the family's 1533-position model. The record is from RNAcentral.